This 1861-nucleotide unclassified non-coding RNA is filed under the name Eufriesea mexicana. RNAcentral's name for it is "f-box only protein 33, transcript variant X1". Lineage: Eukaryota; Metazoa; Arthropoda; Insecta; Hymenoptera; Apidae. The record is from RNAcentral.
UUAGAGCGCAAUACACGUCAGGUUCUUAUUUUGAUUCGUGGAGGGGGCUCACCUCGAAGAAACGGGUGGCCGAGUCCGAAGGAUUUGCCAGGAAAGUGCAGGAUAUAGGUCGUCAAAUACAGAUUAAACAUGAUACGCGCUGAAAAUGGAGGUAUUGCAUACUUGGAACAGUUAAAGAAUUCGAUAGAGAGUGACGCGACAGAGAAGGCAGUGUCAAAAAAGUGCGAGGAGCAGCUGUCUUUGGUAAAGGCAAACAGCUGUUCGUCCUACAAAGGUGCAAAUCGUACGACAGAAAUGGCGCAAGAGGACAAUAAUCUAUGCUGGAAUAAUCUGCCCAGCAUCAUCCUACAAGAAAUAUUCUCAUAUUUAUCCUACAACUGCCGGUUAAGAGCCUCUCAGGUCUGCAGAAAUUGGAGGUAUGCUCUGUUCCAUCCUCAUUUUUGGAAAAAGAUCACAUUUGUUCUGAAAGAUGAAGACAGUAUAGCAUGGACUCGAUACUUGGCAGAUCAGUUUGAACUUAGUGUGCAAGAAGUUACAAUCAUCUGUGAUAUAUCAAAUUGUUAUGCAAAAGAAACAUUAGCCCUUUUGAACAAACUAAGAUUUAACAGGCAACUUCGUAAAUUGUUUUUGGAACCUAGCAAUAGUACCUUUGAAGAUGAGGGUAGUAAAAAAUACACUAAAUUAUUGGUAUCUUCUGUCAUAAACAUUAUAAACAACUCUGAUCAUUUAGAAGCUCUGAGUUUGGGAUGCAUUGAAGAUUUAACAAUAAAAGCCAGACUAAUUAUGGCACAUUUACGUAACUGUCAGGCAAGACAUUUGACAACUCUUAGUUUGGCACCUGUUAAGGAUGAUCCCAAUGAUUAUAACAUUUUUAAUUCUGGUUAUGGAUAUAUGUUCCACUCAUUUGUCAGAUUAUCUAUUUUAACUCUGGAUUAUGAGUUCCUAAGUAAUUCUUUGCUGAAUGCAUUGGAUAGUGGUACCAUGGAAAGACUUGUAAUUCAUGUACAUGGUUGGAAUUAUCAGUAUUCAGGUACAUCUGAUUAUAGUUGGCAAGUUUUUGUUCAAAAGAAUCCUAAAUGUGAGCUACGACUAACUCUUAUACACUCUUAUAUUGGUAUUAAAAAAUUAGAUACAAAUAUACUUCUUCCUUCCAUGCCCCUUACACAUUUGAAAGUGUUAUUUUGUGAAAACGUUAAUAUCGGAGUAUUACAUCGACUAUCUAGGUGGUAUUCACUUACUUUAAAAUCUUUAAUAUGGAUAGAUUCAGUACAACCUUUCAUAAGCAACGUACCAGCAACAUAUGAUCCAAGUGACCCUCAUGGACCUGAUCCAUUAGUAUUAAUUGCAUGGAAAUGUACCAAACUUGUGGAAAUUGUAUUCAUAGGCCAUAUAUAUCACCAAGAAAACUUGUUAGCUAUUGCACGCUUACGAGGAAACUCACUUAAGUCAUUAGUUUUUGCACAAAGAUUCAUUGCAUCUGACACUGAAUCUUGGCAUGAGACUGAAACCAUUACACAUGAAAUAAAACAAAUAAUGGGGUGCCUAUGGGAACCAUUAAGUGAUGCAGAUUUACCUGCAGUUGUUAAAAGUCCCUUCGAAGGUGAUAGUAGGGAAGUUAUCAUGCCAUUGGUCCUUCGUGACCAAAAGUAAAUUUUAAUUUGCACUAAGGAAAGAUUACUCCCCGAUACCGUACUUUACCGAUCGACAUCAUCAACAAUUUCUGGGCAAGCAACAUUCUCAGAAGUAAGGAUCACACAGAUCCAGUGUGUAAACAGCGAGGAUGAAAACGCACACAAGUUCUCCUUUAUAAUGAUUUUAUUAGUUCCCAUGAGAACAUAAUAAGCCAUAGUUAAGUACGCCU